CAAUAGCGUAUAUUAAAGUUGUUGCAGUUAAAAAGCUCGUAGUUGGAUUUCGGGAUGGGCCAGUCGGUCUGCCGUAAGGUAUGUUACUGGCUGGUCUGUCCUUCUUCGCAAAGACUGCGUGUGCCCUUAAUUGUGUGUGCGUAGGAUUUGCGACGUUACUUUGAAAAAAUUAGAGUGUUCAAAGCAGGCUGACCGCUUGAAUACAUGAGCAUGGAAUAAUGGAAUAGGACUUUGGUUCUAUUUUGUUGGUUUCUUGAACCGAAGUAAUGAUUAAGAGGGACAGUUGGGGGCAUUCGUAUUUCGUUGUCAGAGGUGAAAUUCUUGGAUUUACGAAAGACGAACUUAGGCGAAAGCAUUUACCAAGGAUGUUUUCAUUAAUCAAGAACGAAAGUUAGGGGAUCGAAGAUGAUUAGAUACA
Molecule: ribosomal RNA, 418 nt
Filed under: uncultured eukaryote
Lineage: Eukaryota
Description: SSU rRNA
Rfam family: Eukaryotic small subunit ribosomal RNA
Source: RNAcentral